GUAACACGUGGGCAAUCUGCCCUUCACUCUGGGACAAGCCCUGGAAACGGGGUCUAAUACCGGAUAACACUCUGUCCCGCAUGGGACGGGGUUAAAAGCUCCGGCGGUGAAGGAUGAGCCCGCGGCCUAUCAGCUUGUUGGUGGGGUAAUGGCCUACCAAGGCGACGACGGGUAGCCGGCCUGAGAGGGCGACCGGCCACACUGGGACUGAGACACGGCCCAGACUCCUACGGGAGGCAGCAGUGGGGAAUAUUGCACAAUGGGCGAAAGCCUGAUGCAGCGACGCCGCGUGAGGGAUGACGGCCUUCGGGUUGUAAACCUCUUUCAGCAGGGAAGAAGCGAAAGUGACGGUACCUGCAGAAGAAGCGCCGGCUAACUACGUGCCAGCAGCCGCGGUAAUACGUAGGGCGCAAGCGUUGUCCGGAAUUAUUGGGCGUAAAGAGCUCGUAGGCGGCUUGUCACGUCGGAUGUGAAAGCCCGGGGCUUAACCCCGGGUCUGCAUUCGAUACGGGCUAGCUAGAGUGUGGUAGGGGAGAUCGGAAUUCCUGGUGUAGCGGUGAAAUGCGCAGAUAUCAGGAGGAACACCGGUGGCGAAGGCGGAUCUCUGGGCYAUUACUGACGCUGAGGAGCGAAAGCGUGGGGAGCGAACAGGAUUAGAUACCCUGGUAGUCCACGCCGUAAACGUUGGGAACUAGGUGUUGGCGACAUUCCACGUCGUCGGUGCCGCAGCUAACGCAUUAAGUUCCCCGCCUGGGGAGUACGGCCGCAAGG
RNAcentral lists this ribosomal RNA (771 nucleotides) under bacterium. RNAcentral describes it as "bacterial SSU rRNA". The record is from RNAcentral.